AUAUUUUACAAUGGGGGCAACCCUGAUCCAGCCAUGCCGCGUAUGUGAAGAAGGUCAUCGGAUUGUAAAGCACUUUAAGUUGGAAGGAAGGGCGUUAGGAUACUACCCUGAACUUUUUACGUUACCAACAGACUAAGCACCGGCCAACUCUGUGCCAGAAGCCGCGGUAAUACAGAGGGUGCAAGCGUUAAUCGGAAUUACUGGGCGUAAACCGCGCGUAGGUGGUUCAGUAAGAUGGGUGUGAAAUCCCCGGGCUUAACCUGGGAACUGCUUUCAUAACUGCUGAGCUAGAGUACGGUAGAGGGUAGUGGAAUUUCCUGUGUAGCGGUGAAAUGCGUAGAUAUAGGAAGGAACACCAGUGGCGAAGGCGACUACCUGGACUGAUACUGACACUGAGGUGCGAAAGCGUGGGGAGCAAAC
RNAcentral lists this ribosomal RNA (420 nucleotides) under uncultured bacterium. RNAcentral describes it as "partial 16S ribosomal RNA". It matches the Rfam family "Bacterial small subunit ribosomal RNA", at positions 361 to 773 of the family's 1533-position model. The record is from RNAcentral.